UACGUAGGGUGCAAGCGUUAAUCGGAAUUACUGGGCGUAAAGCGUGCGCAGGCGGUUUUGUAAGUCUGACGUGAAAGCCCCGGGCUCAACCUGGGAAUUGCGUUGGAGACUGCAAGGCUCGAAUCUGGCAGAGGGGGGUAGAAUUCCACGUGUAGCAGUGAAAUGCGUAGAGAUGUGGAGGAACACCGAUGGCGAAGGCAGCCCCCUGGGUCAAGAUUGACGCUCAUGCACGAAAGCGUGGGGAGCAAACAGG
Molecule: ribosomal RNA, 253 nt
Filed under: uncultured bacterium
Lineage: Bacteria
Description: partial 16S ribosomal RNA
Rfam family: Bacterial small subunit ribosomal RNA
Source: RNAcentral